GAUUAACUUUAACUGGAGUGAAGGUGGGGAUGACGUCAAGUCAUCAUGGCCCUUACGGCCUGGGCUACACACGUGCUACAAUGGUCGGUACAGAGGGUUGCCAAGCCGCGAGGUGGAGCUAAUCUCACAAAACCGAUCGUAGUCCGGAUCGCAGUCUGCAACUCGACUGCGUGAAGUCGGAAUCGCUAGUAAUCGCGAAUCAGAAUGUCGCGGUGAAUACGUUCCCGGGCCUUGUACACACCGCCCGUCACACCAUGGGAGUGGGUUGCACCAGAAGUAGCUAGUCUAACCUUCGGGAGGACGGUUACCACGGUGUGAUUCAUGACUGGGGUGAAGUCGAACAAUGAGCCAUGGCA
Molecule: ribosomal RNA, 356 nt
Filed under: Pseudomonas putida
Lineage: Bacteria; Pseudomonadati; Pseudomonadota; Gammaproteobacteria; Pseudomonadales; Pseudomonadaceae
Description: bacterial SSU rRNA
Rfam family: Bacterial small subunit ribosomal RNA
Source: RNAcentral